RNAcentral lists this transfer RNA (72 nucleotides) under Beta vulgaris subsp. vulgaris (sugar beet). It matches the Rfam family "tRNA". Rfam says of the family: Transfer RNA (tRNA) molecules are approximately 80 nucleotides in length. Their secondary structure includes four short double-helical elements and three loops (D, anti-codon, and T loops). Lineage: Eukaryota; Viridiplantae; Streptophyta; Magnoliopsida; Caryophyllales; Amaranthaceae. The record is from Rfam by way of RNAcentral.
GUCCCUUUCGUCUAUGGGUAAGACACUGCGCCCUCAACGCUAGUGAAGCGGGUUCGAGCCCCGGAAGGGACG